Molecule: long non-coding RNA, 478 nt
Organism: Schistocerca serialis cubense
Lineage: Eukaryota; Metazoa; Arthropoda; Insecta; Orthoptera; Acrididae
Exons: 3
Source: RefSeq, a predicted model, not a curated record
GUCGAAUUAACGUGUGCUUUUCGUGUUGACGUGCAGUAUGUACUUUAUGUUUGUACUAAAGUGACAGUGGGAGAGAUAGACGAUUCCAGAAAAUAACUUGCUCAUUUUGAAUACCACCCACAGUGUACGAAAGGGUUGCACCAUGGAGGAGCUCAUAAAUGACUGCUAAAAGACGAGGGACCCCAGGCGCACAAUGAUUGGCUGAACGAGAGGAGCACACCCUCCGCAUUUGAGCAAGCGCAGAGAUGCUGCACUCUGUAGCCAAUCAGAUGGGAGCACAGCUCCGUCACCAGUUGCCGCUGUGCCUUGGAGCAGUCAACAUCGGUACAAUUUCACUGAUCCCCAGACGCGUGGCGACACGACACGACUGGACAGGCGGCGCAGCCGGCGCUACAGGGCCAGGGGACGAGUCUGCUGGCGGUAUGCCGGCCACGUGUGAGGGGCUGCCGCUACACGGGGGGCGCGCGCGCCCGCUGAC